UACAGAGGUCCCAAGCGUUGUUCGGAUUCAUUGGGCGUAAAGGGUGCGUAGGCGGUGGGGUAAGUUGGAUGUGAAAUCUUGGGGCUUAACCUCAAAAUUGCAUUCAAUACUGCUCCGCUCGAGUUCUGUAGAGGAGAUUGGAAUUUACGGUGUAGCAGUGAAAUGCGUAGAUAUCGUAAGGAACGCCAGUGGCGAAGGCGGGUCUCUGGGCAACAACUGACGCUGAGGAGCGAAAGCGUGGGGAGCGAACAGG
RNAcentral lists this ribosomal RNA (253 nucleotides) under uncultured bacterium. RNAcentral's name for it is "partial 16S ribosomal RNA". It matches the Rfam family "Bacterial small subunit ribosomal RNA", at positions 524 to 776 of the family's 1533-position model. The record is from RNAcentral.